GUGCUGCGGCAGGUGACGUCUCCAUUGGCCUCCACCUCCGCUGAGGUGUUUGUGGCUGGAUUUUCUUUACUGCGUAGGACAAUAAACCCUGACUUUGAGGAGCCGGGACCAAAGGGGGCUGAGCGGACAAGCGGAAAGGCAGACUCCAAAAUGCUACACGGCUCCCCUAUGAGGCCUGCGAGAACGCCCUCUGCUCACCACUGACUCCCUCGGGUAAACCCGGCCGUGAGCCCCCGAGCUACGCUGGAUCCGCUUCGCUCAUUUUUACGGUUCUUUUGAAGUGACAUCUCUGCCGUCUGCCAGCAUGUGCCGACGGCAUUCCAACCCGCUGCUCUUCUUCUUUUCCCGGAUAGGCAGCGCUGCCGUUCUGUUUCACUUCUCUAUGGCUUUUUGUUGCCCUCUCCCAGCUUCUUCCUUGGAGCUGCUGCGGCCCCCCCCCACCCCACCCCUCCCGUCGCCCCCUUCCAGGUAGGUCUUUGGUGCCAGAAAGAGGAGCACAGUGUCCCUUUGUUAUUUCCAGGGCUUAAGUCUAGAUAACAAGUGCAGCCACCCAGACUCUGCAACACAUCAGCCUGUCGGAGGCCUUUCAUUUCCAUAAUUGUGAUUGGAGGGGCAAGUCCUCGCAGAGUUCUCUAUAGGCAUUAGACAAUGACGACCUUCAUAGACACUUAAAGGCAGUUUGUUUUUCUUACAUUUUGAGAAGGUCUUAUCUUGUGGUGAUCCGAUUUUAAAAACACAUCUUUAACUCCGCGUUGAAAGAAAGAAAUGUGGUAUUUUACUUGUUAGUAGUGAUGGUCUCGCUUCGCCACGUGCCGACUUGCGUUAACGUUACAUUACCAGCUAGCCCCGCUAGCUUGACAACGGUUUGCCUGGUCCCACAACUGGAACCCACCACCAGUCUGCCAGAUGUGAGGCCUUCUCCACGCUCUCCGCACUCCAAGCAGGAAAACACAAACUUCCCACGCGCACUCCCCCGCGCGGACGAAUAAACGCUCAUCAUCGGCGCUCCGCAGUCACCUGCAGCGCCGCGUCUCUGCGGACACUCUCCCUCCGGGACACCCCGAAGAACUCGGGACGCAGGCUUCUCCCGCAGGCCUCUUUUUGUUUUCCGUCCAAACCGAAGAGUGACCUUGUAGUGGCCGCAGAUUCCCCGAGUGGAAAGCGGUCUCCUUCAGAAGCCUGCUAUUAGCGGCUUUGUGGGGCAGAGUGGCGACAUGUUAAUGGCACCCAGACACAGAAGAGGCUUUAGACCCCCGCGGCCGCCUGCACCCAGAACACAGCCGACUGCAGGGAAUGCGGAAUCUUAAGGAUGGAAGUUGAAAGCAACCACCGAGGGAUGGUUUGGAUUUCUGUUCAAUAUUUUAUACUUUGUUUAGAAGAAACAAUGUGUAAGAUUUUAACGUUGAGGGACAUCGCUCUGAAGAUGAGCAGCCUUCGUGCUGCGGGUCUGAAUUGGAGGGAAAUCCGCUUGAACGCUUCAGGACACUAAACAGGAAGGAAGAAUCUUUAAUCACAAACAAGUCCUUAUACUUAAAAGACCAGCUUGAAAUGUUGAAGUUGGCUUAUUCUCUUUGAUGCUGUGACCACUCGCACAUCUGUACAUUACAUUUGAUGCUCGAGCUUGCAGCUGUUUAGCCUCGCCUUGCAUGGAGCAAUAUUUUUAUUGUAAAAGCAGCUUGGGCACUUUUUGUAUGUUACUUAACAUGUUUAAAUACCAAAUUUGCUUAGGACGAUGUUCAGCUGUGCAUUAAUAAACUGUUGGCAUGCUAACUAA
Molecule: long non-coding RNA, 1774 nt
Organism: Gasterosteus aculeatus aculeatus (three-spined stickleback)
Lineage: Eukaryota; Metazoa; Chordata; Actinopteri; Perciformes; Gasterosteidae
Source: Ensembl